RNAcentral lists this ribosomal RNA (425 nucleotides) under uncultured bacterium. Its description in RNAcentral is "bacterial SSU rRNA". It matches the Rfam family "Bacterial small subunit ribosomal RNA", at positions 354 to 796 of the family's 1533-position model. The record is from RNAcentral.
GUGGGGAAUAUUGGACAAUGGGCGCAAGCCUGAUCCAGCCAUGCCGCGUGAGUGAUGAAGGCCCUAGGGUUGUAAAGCUCUUUCAGUGGGGACGAUAAUGACGGUACCCACAGAAGAAGCCCCGGCUAACUUCGUGCCAGCAGCCGCGGUAAUACGAAGGGGGCUAGCGUUGUUCGGAUUUACUGGGCGUAAAGCGCACGUAGGCGGAUCGUUAAGUCGAGGGUGAAAUCCUGGAGCUCAACUCCAGAACUGCCUUCGAUACUGGCGAUCUUGAGUCCGGAAGAGGUGAGUGGAACUCCUAGUGUAGAGGUGGAAUUCGUAGAUAUUAGGAAGAACACCAGUGGCGAAGGCGGCUCACUAGUCCGGUACUGACGCUGAGGUGCGAAAGCGUGGGGAGCAAACAGGAUUAGAAACCCCAGUAGUCC